CCUGAGGCAGCGACGCCGCGUGCGGGAAGAAGGCCUUCGGGUUGUAAACCGCUUUCAGGAGGGACGAAGCCACUCGGGUGAAUAGCCCAGAGGGUGACGGUACCUCCAGAAGAAGCCCCGGCUAACUACGUGCCAGCAGCCGCGGUAAUACGUAGGGGGCAAGCGUUGUCCGGAUUUAUUGGGCGUAAAGAGCGUGUAGGCGGCUAGAUAGGUCCGUUGUGAAAACUCGAGGCUCAACCUCGAGACGUCGAUGGAAACCAUCUGGCUAGAGUCCGGAAGAGGAGAGUGGAAUUCCUGGUGUAGCGGUGAAAUGCGCAGAUAUCAGGAAGAACACCCGUGGCGAAGGCGGCUCUCUGGGACGUGACUGACGCUGAGACGCGAAAGCGUGGGGAGCGAACAGGAUUAGAUACCCUGGUAGUCCACGCCGUAAACGAUGGGUGCUAGGUGUGGGCGGUGUCGACUCCGUCCGUGCCGAAGCUAACGCAUUAAGCACCCCGCCUGGGGAGUACGGCCGCAAGGCUAAAACUCAAAGGAAUUGACG
This 541-nucleotide ribosomal RNA is filed under the name uncultured Actinomycetes bacterium. RNAcentral describes it as "SSU rRNA". It matches the Rfam family "Bacterial small subunit ribosomal RNA", at positions 382 to 915 of the family's 1533-position model. Lineage: Bacteria; Bacillati; Actinomycetota; Actinomycetes. The record is from RNAcentral.